CAUAAGUCUUUAGAGUUUGAUCCUGGCUCAGGAUGAACGCUAGCUACAGGCUUAACACAUGCAAGUCGAGGGGAAACGAUAGAGAAAGCUUGCUUUUUCUAGGCGUCGACCGGCGCACGGGUGAGUAACGCGUAUCCAACCUGCCCAUCACUUGGGGAUAACCUUGCGAAAGUAAGACUAAUACCCAAUGAUAUCUCAAGAAGACACCUGAAUGAGAUUAAAGAUUUAUCGGUGAUGGAUGGGGAUGCGUCUGAUUAGCUUGUUGGCGGGGUAACGGCCCACCAAGGCUACGAUCAGUAGGGGUUCUGAGAGGAAGGUCCCCCACAUUGGAACUGAGACACGGUCCAAACUCCUACGGGAGGCAGCAGUGAGGAAUAUUGGUCAAUGGGCGAGAGCCUGAACCAGCCAAGUAGCGUGCAGGAUGACGGCCCUAUGGGUUGUAAACUGCUUUUAUAAGGGAAUAAAGUGAGCCUCGUGAGGCUUUUUGCAUGUACCUUAUGAAUAAGGACCGGCUAAUUCCGUGCCAGCAGCCGCGGUAAUACGGAAGGUCCGGGCGUUAUCCGGAUUUAUUGGGUUUAAAGGGAGCGUAGGCCGGAGAUUAAGCGUGUUGUGAAAUGUAGAUGCUCAACAUCUGCACUGCAGCGCGAACUGGUUUCCUUGAGUACGCACAAAGUGGGCGGAAUUCGUGGUGUAGCGGUGAAAUGCUUAGAUAUCACGAAGAACUCCGAUUGCGAAGGCAGCUCACUGGAGCGCAACUGACGCUGAAGCUCGAAAGUGCGGGUAUCGAACAGGAUUAGAUACCCUGGUAGUCCGCACGGUAAACGAUGGAUGCCCGCUGUUGGUCUGAAUAGGUCAGCGGCCAAGCGAAAGCAUUAAGCUAUCCCACCUGGGGAGUACGCCGGCAACGGUGAAACUAAGGUUUAAGGACGGAAGGGCG
Molecule: ribosomal RNA, 937 nt
Filed under: uncultured bacterium
Lineage: Bacteria
Description: bacterial SSU rRNA
Rfam family: Bacterial small subunit ribosomal RNA
Source: RNAcentral